CUCAUAAAUAUUUAUUGUGACAUUAUUUUAAGAAUUAUUAUUGGGGAAACUUCAAAUACCCAGUGGUUUCGCAUUCUCUCACUUUAGUACCCUAUAGUUUAAAGUGUAUCAAAUUAGUACCAUGUGGAUUCACACCUUCACUUUAGUAUCUUGUGGUUUUAAGUGUAUCAAGUUAGUACCCUGUAGUUUUGCACUUUCUCACUUUAGUACCAUGUGGUUUAAUAUUUUGUUAAAUUAUAUACCCCGAAAUGAAUAAUAAAAAGAGAAAAUUGAAACCACAAGUUACUAACUUGAUACAAAAAUAAAAUCACAAGGUACUAACUUGAUACACUUGAAACUACAUGGUAUUAAAGUGAGAAAGUGCGAAACAAUACUUGAAGUUUCCCAUCAUUAUUUGCAUAAGUAUCCUCUAUGCUAUCGGAAGCAUAGAGGAUCGGGUGCUUUCGAUUUUUUGGCCCUUAGAUCAAUAUCUUUGAUCAUUUCUAAUCAUUGGAUUAAUAUUAUGAAUCAAUGGGAACCACUCAACCCGAGGGGACCACUCAACCCUAAGGGGAUCGCUAUCAUCUCAACCGUAGAAUUUUUGAUCCAAGGCUAAAAAAUCGGAAGCACUAACUACUUUAUGCUUCCGAUAGCAUAGUAACUCUACACUAUAUAUAUAUAUAUAUAUAUAUAUAUAUAGAGAGAGAGAGAGAGAGAGAGAGAGAGAGAAUU
This 711-nucleotide long non-coding RNA is filed under the name Ananas comosus (pineapple). RNAcentral describes it as "long non-coding RNA (ACOM_LNC021997)". The record is from RNAcentral. Lineage: Eukaryota; Viridiplantae; Streptophyta; Magnoliopsida; Poales; Bromeliaceae.